AAGCGAAAUCGGCAACUUGCUCUUUUUCGCAAGUUGCCGGUCGUCCGAGGGUGGUGCCUCGGGCCUGAUGAGCAGCCACGG
Molecule: non-coding RNA, 81 nt
Filed under: Desulfuromonadales bacterium
Lineage: Bacteria; Pseudomonadati; Thermodesulfobacteriota; Desulfuromonadia; Desulfuromonadales
Source: RNAcentral